This is a long non-coding RNA of Siniperca chuatsi (mandarin fish), 1691 nucleotides long. RefSeq lists it as uncharacterized. The record is from RefSeq and is a predicted model, not a curated record. The transcript is spliced from 2 exons. Lineage: Eukaryota; Metazoa; Chordata; Actinopteri; Centrarchiformes; Sinipercidae.
GCGAUAUGCGUCAUGGUGGCGCGCGGCUGGAUGAAAGAGGCUCAAAGGCUGUUACAGCUUAAAUCUAAAACUAAUUAUUGCUCCACUCAUUGAGGACUUAAAGACAGAUCGACAGACUCCAGGUUGGGAACCACAGCCUUAGACCACCGGUGUAUCAGGAUAACCACCUGCUUCCUGAGUGUCACAUGACUUUGCAACCAGUCACCAGAUUUUAUGAAGAAAAUUAAGCACUGUCUAACUUCAUGCUGACAGUCAGUAAAGUAUUGAUUUACAUUUUAUUUCUCGUCUUUUCUCUGUCCAAAUGAGGUGCAGACACGAGUUUUACAGCCAGAUUCCGAAGCUACUGCACAUUUACAAGUUGGUUAUUUCUGUUCUGCUGUCUGGAGGUCUUGUGGUUUAAUCAGAUCACCUGUAUUGAUUGGUCAUUUUUGUCAAACUGACACGACUGAUGAGAAACGUAGAUUGUGCCUUAGCUCAAAUUCAAGGACAAACUUUUCAGAGUGUAACAAGUCCGUAAACUUUUACCCACUUGGACGGAAGGCAAGUUUUAUCAAGAGAAGUCAAAGUUCACAAAAUUCUCAGCUGCGUGUCUGUCUAAGCGGAUUGGUUCAAACCUCACCUGAUUCUGACGUUCUGAAGUCUUCUGCCAUGUCACAACACAUAUCAAACAAGCAGGGGAGCAACGGAAGUGUCAUGAUAUCUUUCUUUAUUAGCCACGUGUAUGUUAUAAUAUGAGUUCAGACAUGCAUCAACAUGAAUACAGAUUGAUUAUUUAGCUGAAAACACUUGUGCCGAUCUGAUAACCUGGCAUUAAAGUCUAUUAAUCAAGUAUACCUCUGGAGGGAUAUUUCAUGAAUUUUCUGGCACUUGCGCUUACGUUGCAUAAUCACAUUUGUUCUUCAUAAUAAAAUGACAUGCAGAAGCAUUUUGGGCCUCUGGAUUUCUCCAGAAGACAGACAGACAGAGAGCUCACAAAUGCACAGGUGAAGCUGAUGUAGUGACAGUGGCCAUAAUGAGACCUACAUGUUAUCUGUAUCAAAAAGCAAAUGCAUUUCACAUCAACAACAAAAAAGUGUCAUUUUAAUAACCAAACAUCUGUAAGUGUCCCAUUUCUGAUGCACAGUUAUAUGCACAAUAACACAAGUAAAAUGAAUGUUUUGGUGAUGCAAACACUCGAACGACAUGGUCACAUAGAUCAGCUGAUAACACAUUACAUGAUCCCAUAUGAGAGCAAAGAGCAACAUAGGGAAAAGAGGUCAGAGACAGAAAAGUGGGAAUUUCCUCCGUUGGGUCUGAGCAUGGAGACACACUUCAUUACAACAUUACCGUCUUAAUUGAUCCUAACAAUUACAAGGGUUUUAUCUGCUCCAUAAAAUCUGAUAAUCACUCUAUUCAAUUAUUACCGCAUGUCAGGUACAGUAAGGUUUAUUUAUUAUGUGAUACAGUUUAUGAUAUGAUAACAGUGAAAAUGACAGCUUCCUGGUUUUGUUUAGUGGUCACUCAUUAUUACAAAGAGCCCCAAGGUCAACAUCCAUGUUGGUCACCUGAAAACUGCUGGAAAUGUAGCUUGCACAUUGCACUUUGGGACAAACUACAUAAAAGCAAAAGGAUAAUAUCUGUCUACCCGUGCUUACUGGAAGACAGUAUUCUACAGGGAGAACAAUAGAGAAAAUACAUAGAACAGGGGGAGA